GGGGAUUUAGCUCAGUGGCCUGAGUGUCUGCCUGGCAAGCACAAGGUUGUGAACUCAACCUCCA
This 64-nucleotide transfer RNA is filed under the name Cavia porcellus (domestic guinea pig). It matches the Rfam family "tRNA". From Rfam's summary of the family: Transfer RNA (tRNA) molecules are approximately 80 nucleotides in length. Their secondary structure includes four short double-helical elements and three loops (D, anti-codon, and T loops). Lineage: Eukaryota; Metazoa; Chordata; Mammalia; Rodentia; Caviidae. The record is from Rfam by way of RNAcentral.